CCUUCGGUAGCUCAGUUGGUAGAGCGGGGGUCUGUAGACUUCUCUGGCGCUGGUUCGAAUCCAGCCUGAAGGA
This is a non-coding RNA of Priapulus caudatus, 73 nucleotides long. The record is from the annotation of a RefSeq genome assembly. NCBI's taxonomy places the organism in Eukaryota, Metazoa, Priapulida, Priapulimorpha, Priapulimorphida, Priapulidae.